CAGCCUGCCUGCAAGCCCAGGUACAGCACGCCGACUCUCUAAAUAAGCAGCACAUUCAGGAACCCCAUCAGGACAGUAGGCAGGGCUGCAGCCUGAGUGUGAAAUCACACUAAUGCGCCCGCUCUAGUCAGGUUGAGCAGGAUCACUCACUCUCUCUCAUUCACACACUACCGUUCCUCUACUACUGUAGCCCCAGCACCAGCAGCCAGAAGACAAGUGUGGAUUGGACGUCAAGGAGGGCAAGAAAGAAAGGAAGGAGGCAAAAAAAGAGAGACAGAAAGGUCUGCGAGGAAACGAGGAAAGGGAUUUUGCAGCUGCUCUUCAUCGACUGUUGGUUUGGAUCCGCUCUGUGACAGGAGACAGCAUUUGAACGGUGCACACCACUGGAUCUCUGGUGGCCUGCCGGUGGCGCCAUCACUUCGAAAGGCUUUUCCACCGACUGUGGAUGCUUCAAACCAAAUCUUAUAACCUGGUCUCGUAGCUUUGAAAAAACCUGGAAAUACCUGGAAUUAUAGGACUACAUUAUCCCAAACCCUUGCCAAGGGACUUACUAAUGUUGCCCAGGCACUGGAUCUGAAAGCUUUACAUUCCUCUUUACUUUUGAAUAUACCAACAGACCAAAAAAAAAAAAAAAAAAACAUAGCUUUAGAACUAGUGAUAGAUUACGGCCAUCCGCCUGCCAUUGCACCAAACCUGCUGUGACCGCAAGGGUUGUGACCUUUCUGGUGCCCACUUCAAACGGACACUUGAAAAGAAGGACGCGGUCAGAGAGGGCUUCCGAGCGGUGGCAACUGAAACCAAAAACCCCAUCAGGUAAGGCUGUGAAGUCACUUCUUUUCCUGCUGGCAUCACCCCCAAAGCUCCUUGGGGGCUUUUGAAGCCCAGAUGGGCUCCCUGCGUCCACACCCACAUAGAUGGGUUCUCCUCCAUGCUGGGCCUACAGGAGAGCCCACUGUAGAUAAAGGCUUCCUGGGUUUGAAGACUCAAUCACCUGUCUGCUGCUGUAGGAUUAGAGGGAAUGUGUGCUGAUUGAAUUUGUUUGGCUCAAAGAUGCUUAGGUGCAGGGAAAUCCUGGAAAGGAAGGAGACAGACAGAUUGACUGACUGACAGAAAAGAAAGAGUGUACAGAUAUAGAGAUACAUGUUAUCAUUGCAUAUUUUCAUCUACAUAAUGCAAGUUGACCUGUGCUGCAGGAAUAUUCUGAGUUCAAUAAAAGUUCAACUAAAUCAAAAGCA
This is a long non-coding RNA of Cyprinus carpio (common carp), 1235 nucleotides long. The record is from Ensembl. NCBI's taxonomy places the organism in Eukaryota, Metazoa, Chordata, Actinopteri, Cypriniformes, Cyprinidae.